CCUACGGGAGGCAGCAGUCGAGAAUCAUUCACAAUGGGGGAAACCCUGAUGGUGCGACGCCGCGUGGGGGAAUGAAGGUCUUCGGAUUGUAAACCCCUGUCAUGUGGGAGCAAAUUAAAAAGAUAGUACCACAAGAGGAAGAGACGGCUAACUCUGUGCCAGCAGCCGCGGUAAUACAGAGGUCUCAAGCGUUGUUCGGAAUCACUGGGCGUAAAGCGUGCGUAGGCUGUUUCGUAAGUCGUGUGUGAAGGGCGCGGGCGCAACCCGCGGACGGCACAUGAUACUGCGAGACUAGAGUAAUGGAGGGGGAACCGGAAUUCUCGGUGUAGCAGUGAAAUGCGUAGAUAUCGAGAGGAACACUCGUGGCGAAGGCGGGUUCCUGGACAUUAACUGACGCUGAGGCACGAAGGCCAGGGGAGCGAAAGGGAUUAGAUACCCCAGUAGUC
Molecule: ribosomal RNA, 446 nt
Filed under: uncultured bacterium
Lineage: Bacteria
Description: partial 16S ribosomal RNA
Rfam family: Bacterial small subunit ribosomal RNA
Source: RNAcentral